RNAcentral lists this small RNA (641 nucleotides) under Pongo abelii (Sumatran orangutan). RNAcentral describes it as "retained intron". Lineage: Eukaryota; Metazoa; Chordata; Mammalia; Primates; Hominidae. The record is from RNAcentral.
UCCAGCUCAAGGUCAAAACGUUCAAGGCCGAAAGCCCUCCAGUUUCCCCUGGACACCUUGCUCCUGCUUCUGCUACGACCUUCUGGGGAACGCGAAUUUCUCAUUUUCUUCUUAAAUUGCCAUUUUCGCUUUAGGAGAUGAAUGUUUUCCUUUGGCUGUUUUGGCAAUGACUCUGAAUUAAAGCGAUGCUAACGCCUGUUCCCCCUAAUUGUUAAAAGCUGUGGACUGCAGAAAGAUGGCCCGCUUCUCUUACAGUGUGAUUUGGAUCAUGGCCAUUUCUAAAGCCUUUGAACUGGGAUUAGUUGCCGGGCUGGGCCAUCAGGAAUUUGCUCGUCCAUCUCGGGGAGACCUGGCCUUCAGAGAUGACAGCAUUUGGCCCCAGGAGGAGCCUGCAAUUCGGCCUCGGUCUUCCCAGCAUGUGCCGCCCAUGGGGAUACAGCACAGUAAGGAGCUAAACAGAACCUGCUGCCUGAAUGGGGGAACCUGCAUGCUGGGGUCCUUUUGUGCCUGCCCGCCCUCCUUCUACGGACGGAACUGUGAGCACGAUGUGCGCAAAGAGUAAGCCAUUCAGAGGGGCGGGGAGCCGUGGACAGGAGAGAGAAAGGGAAGUGGAAAUUUCAGACCCAAGGCUAUCGCCUUAC